This 372-nucleotide unclassified non-coding RNA is filed under the name uncultured Dehalococcoidia bacterium. RNAcentral describes it as "contains 16S-23S intergenic spacer region". Lineage: Bacteria; Bacillati; Chloroflexota; Dehalococcoidia. The record is from RNAcentral.
UCCCCCUUGUGGGGGGCUGUCCCGCUAGAGAAAACAACUAGCGGCAAGGGUUGCGCUCGUUGCGGGACUUAACCCAACACCUCACGGCACGAGCUGACGACAGCCAUGCAGCACCUGUGCCGGCUUCCCGAGUUACCCCGGAAUCGUCACCCUUUCGGGCUUCUACUACCGGCAUGUCAAGCCCUGGUAAGGUUCUUCGCUUAGCAUCGAAUUAAACCACACGCUCCACCGCUUGUGCGGGCCCCCGUCAAUUCUUUUGAGUUUUAGCCUUGCGGCCGUAGUCCCCAGGCGGGACGCUUAUCGCGUUAGCUUCGGCACAGGGGGGGUCGAUACCCCCAAUACCUAGCGUCCAUAGUUUAGGGCGUGGACUAC